RNAcentral lists this ribosomal RNA (253 nucleotides) under uncultured bacterium. Its description in RNAcentral is "partial 16S ribosomal RNA". It matches the Rfam family "Bacterial small subunit ribosomal RNA", at positions 524 to 776 of the family's 1533-position model. The record is from RNAcentral.
UACGUAGGGGGCAAGCGUUGUCCGGAAUUAUUGGGCGUAAAGAGCUCGUAGGCGGUUCAGUAAGUCGGGUGUGAAAUCUUGGAGCUUAACUCCGAAACUGCAUUCGAUACUGCCGUGCUUGAGGACUGGAGAGGAGACUGGAAUUUACGGUGUAGCGGUGAAAUGCGUAGAUAUCGAGAGGAACACCUGCGGCGAAGGCGGGUUGCUGGGCUGACACUGACGCUGAUGCGCGAAAGCCAGGGGAGCGAACGGG